UAGGCCACUAGGCGGCGCUGUUGCCAUUACUAUAACAGAUGCAGUUCAGCAUUUUCUUUGCUUUUUUAUACCUUACGAGAUGCCGUAGUUUACACUUGAUUUGUGUAGGCCGCCAUGUUCGUUAAAAACUGUGUGUCCUACGUUAAGGGGAUGAUGAAACCAGCCUUCUCUGUGACAAUAAAUCCUAAUGGUCUCAGCCACAAUCUUCAA
Perca fluviatilis (European perch) is the source of this 210-nucleotide long non-coding RNA. RefSeq lists it as uncharacterized. NCBI's taxonomy places the organism in Eukaryota, Metazoa, Chordata, Actinopteri, Perciformes, Percidae. The transcript has 2 exons. The record is from RefSeq and is a predicted model, not a curated record.